GCCCUGGGUCCCCGGAUGCCCCUGCCCGAGCCCAGCGAGCAGGAGGGCGAAGAGUGUGAAGGCCAGCCGGGAGCCAUCCCCCGAGCCAGCCACGGACGUUGUCCGGGCAGCCCCCAGGAAGCCCAGGGAGUUCUCCAAACUGGUCCUGCUCACAGACUCCAACCAAGAUGAGGAAACGGUGGGAUCCAAGCCCCAGGAAGUGCACUGCGUCCUGUCCCUGGAGAUGGCUGGCCCCGCCACCCUCGUCAGCACCUUGCAGAUCCUGCCAGUUGAGCAGGGAGGGGUGGUCCAGCCAGCCCCACAGAUGCCUGAACAGAAGUGCAGCAAGCUGGACACAGCAGCCCCUCAGUCCCUGGAGUUCCUGAGGACACCAUUCGGGGGCCACCUCCUGGUGCUGGAGUCCUUCCUGUACAAGCAGGAGAAGGCUGUGGGGGACAAGGUAUACUGGAGUGCCGCCAGCAUGCUGAGCUGGGCUGCCCGGGCCGGGCCAUCACCCGAGGCCUGCGGGCCACAGUGAUGCGGGGCCACUGCCACGCGCCCAAUGAGCAAGGCAUGGAGGCCUGGCGCCAGAGGGAGAAGCUGCCCAGCCUGGCCCUGCCAGAGGGCUUGGGAGAGCCCCAGGGUCCUGAGGGCCCUGGAGGCCGAGUGGAGGAGCCACUGGAGGGGGUGGGCCCGUGGCAGUGCCCUGAGGAGCCAGAGCCAGAGCCCACUCCUGGGCUGGUGCUGAGCAAGCCAGCCCCGGAGGAAGAGGGACCCCGAGCCCUGUCACUGCUGAGCCUGCCGCCCAAGAAGCGCUCGAUCCUGGGGCUGGGACAGGCCCGGCCCCUCGAGUUCCUGAGGACGUGCUACGGGGGCAGCUUCCUGGUACACGAGUCAUUCCUCUGCAAGCGGGAGAAGGCUGUCGGGGACAAGGUGUAUUGGACCUGCCGGGACCACGCGCUGCACAGCUGCUGGAGCCGGGCCAUCACCCGGGGACAGCGGGUGACCGUGAUGCGUGGGCACUGCCACCAGCCCGAUAUGGAGGGCCUGGAAGCCCGGCGGCAGCAGGAGAAGGCCAUGGAGACGCUGCAGGCUGGGCAGGACGGCCCUGGGAGCCAAGUGGACACGCUGCUCCAAGGCGUGGAUAGUCUGCUCUACCGCAGGGGUCCGGGUCCCCUGACUCUCACCAGGCCUCGGCCCAGAAAGCGAGCAAAGGUUGAAGACCAGGAGCUGCCAAUCCAGCCCGAGGCCCCAGAAGGAUCCCCAGACGAGGACCAGGACAUGGACGCAGACCCUGGAGGCCGUGAGUUCCUGAAGACGCCCCUGGGGAGCAGCUUCCUGGUGUACGAGUCCUUCCUCUACCGGCGGGAGAAGGCGGCCGGGGAGAAGGUGUAUUGGACCUGCCGGGACCAGGCCCUCCGCAUGGGCUGCCGCAGCCGCGCCAUGACCCAGGGCCGGCGGGUCAUGGUCAUGCGCAGGCACUGCCACCCACCAGACCUGGGCGGCCUGGAAGCCCUGCGGAAGCGGGAGCACUUCCCCAGCCUGGCGCAGUGGGACAGCCCAGAUCCUCUCCGGCCCCUGGAGUUCCUGAGGACUUCCCUGGGGGGCAGGUUCCUGGUGCACGAGUCCUUCCUCUACAGGAAGGAGAAGGCGGCUGGGGAAAAGGUGUACUGGAUGUGCCGGGACCAGGCUCGGCUGGGCUGCCGCAGCCGCGCCAUCACCCAGGGCCACUGCAUCAUGGUCAUGCACAGCCACUGCCACCAGCCUGACCUGGCAGGCCUGGAGGCCUUGAGGCAACGGGAGCGGCUCCCCACUGCCGCCCAGCAGGAGGACCCAGAAAAGAUUCAAGUUCAGCUGUGCUACAAGAUGUGUUCUCCUGAAAGCCAGCCGAUUUAUGGGGACAUCAAAGACGUCAGACUGGAUGGCGAGUCCCAGUGAGGCAAUGUGGGCAGAGGAGCUCUGAGCCGCCCACCCGAGGUGGCUUCACAUCCACACAGGCACUUCCCAUCCACUUAGGUUUGGCUUGGCAGAAACUUCUUUUCAUUCUUCCAAAGCAUCGAUGGUCUUCGCAUCUCCUCAGGAGGAAUUCUUGGAUGGUGUCCUUGUGUUGGCAGAGAACAGUGCUCAGAGCUGGCGCUUGCAGACGCAGCUGUCGUGGGGCAGGGCAGUGGCGCCUUCCUGACCUUUGGAAGACGUGACGAAGCUGCCUGGACACGGACGCCCCUGCUGUCCGGCCACAGCACCCCUGGGUUUGCAGAGCACGCAGCCUUCCCAGGGCUUUCCACCUGGCGAGGCCCUGCUCUGCUCAGCAUGGUGCAAAGUGAAUGCCCCUGUCUUGGAGCCUGGGCACGUUUGGAGAACUUCCUGCUUCAAACUGAGCUGCCCCGCAUAGGCCAGGUCAAGCCACACCAAUCUUUUCUGGACAGGUGCUGGGUAGGCCUUCCUGGUCUCUGGCCGCCUGCUGCCAGGGUGCGGCCAUCCGCAGCAACCUGAGCCGGCCAAACCAGAGGCCUCGCUCCGCGCUCCACACUUUCCUUUCUGUGCUCCUUCCAAGUUAAAUUAAACCCCCUCUCCACGAUUCCCAUGGCAGGCGUCAUUCCCCGAGAUGG
This is an RNA transcript of Nomascus leucogenys (northern white-cheeked gibbon), 2588 nucleotides long. It is a transcript of the gene named FLYWCH-type zinc finger-containing protein 1 pseudogene, with no coding region annotated. The record is from RefSeq and is a predicted model, not a curated record. Lineage: Eukaryota; Metazoa; Chordata; Mammalia; Primates; Hylobatidae. The transcript has a single exon.